UGCGGUAAUUCCAGCUCCAAUAGUGUAUUGUAAAGUUGUUGUGAUUAAAACGCUCGUAGUUGAAUGAAAACAAUCGAGACGUGAUUUACGUUCUCUCGGUCAUACGAUGGAUUCGUCCAUCCGGCCGAGUUGAACUGCAAUCGCAUAACGUCUCAUAAUAAGCGGGAGUUUGUUUACUCAAACUCUUUUACUUUGAUUAAAUCAAGGUGCUUAAAGCAAAAUCUUCUGUUAAUGAAUGAUGAAGCAUGGUAUAGAAUUAAAACAGAACAGAAAGAAAAACGAAUAAAUGGAGAUGGGCAACCAUUCGAAAUUUAUUUAUUUUUGUUUUGUUUAAAACAAGGUUAAGAGAAAUGAUUAGGGUGAUUUAGAUAGGAACGGGAGAGGUGGAAUUCCAUGAUCGUUUCGAGAUAAACGAGAGCGAAAGCAUUUCACA
Molecule: ribosomal RNA, 433 nt
Filed under: Entamoeba coli
Lineage: Eukaryota; Evosea; Mastigamoebida; Endamoebidae
Description: SSU rRNA
Rfam family: Eukaryotic small subunit ribosomal RNA
Source: RNAcentral